CUACGGGUCGCAGCAGUGGGGAAUAUUGCACAAUGGGCGCAAGCCUGAUGCAGCCAUGCCGCGUGUAUGAAGAAGGCCUUCGGGUUGUAAAGUACUUUCAGCGGGGAGGAAGGGAGUAAAGUUAAUACCUUUGCUCAUUGACGUUACCCGCAGAAGAAGCACCGGCUAACUCCGUGCCAGCAGCCGCGGUAAUACGGAGGGUGCAAGCGUUAAUCGGAAUUACUGGGCGUAAAGCGCACGCAGGCGGUUUGUCAAGUCAGAUGUGAAAUCCCCGGGCUCAACCUGGGAACUGCAUCUGAUACUGGCAAGCUUGAGUCUCGUAGAGGGGGGUAGAAUUCCAGGUGUAGCGGUGAAAUGCGUAGAGAUCUGGAGGAAUACCGGUGGCGAAGGCGCCCCCCUGGACGAAGACUGACGCUCAGGUGCGAAAGCGUGGGGAGCAAACAGGAUUAGAUACCCUAGUAGUC
Molecule: ribosomal RNA, 464 nt
Filed under: uncultured bacterium
Lineage: Bacteria
Description: partial 16S ribosomal RNA
Rfam family: Bacterial small subunit ribosomal RNA
Source: RNAcentral